CCAGGGGCGACUCCCCCACUCUUCCAAAACCCUCAAACUUCAUUAAACUUGCAAAUUGAAGGUUUAAUCCAAGUUGGAAUCGAAAUUAAAGUAUGGAAUACUGAUCCUCAUCACAAGAGGAUUACAAGGAAAGGAUCCCGGAACGUCGAGUGGACAAGCCGGUGGUGAUUUGCGGUUGAAGGGCGUACACUAAGUUUAGGUACUCAAGGAUUACGGAUGACGAUCAAGCAAACUUUUGAAGAACCGAACACAUAUUUUUGAAGCUUCCGCAUAAUUUAACUCGUUUUGAACAAUGUUACGAUGUAAAGUGUUUGCUAAACAUCUAAAUGAAAUUAUUAAAUUAGUUAGUAGAAAACUAAUGUUGAUACUUUAGUACUAUACUUUUGGAUCUUAUUAUAUAAAAUGAUCGUAGAAUUUACAUA
This is a long non-coding RNA of Helianthus annuus (common sunflower), 422 nucleotides long. RefSeq lists it as uncharacterized. The record is from RefSeq and is a predicted model, not a curated record. The transcript has 3 exons. Lineage: Eukaryota; Viridiplantae; Streptophyta; Magnoliopsida; Asterales; Asteraceae.